AUAUAGCCAAUGCUUUCAUCUAAAGCAGAUGUUCAAGAAGGGCUGGGAAGAUCAUUCCACCACAGAGGUACAGUGAUUUUUCCAAAGGUUGUGUUCAUUGUCAGCUUGAAAUGUCUAGAGAUUCAGUGAUGAUGUGAUUAUAGUAUAGUUCAGUUGGUGCUGAAGCUGUUUUUAUAUAGACAAUCAUAGACACAUGCAUCUGUAAAAUAAAUGGUAAAAAUGGGUUGUCUUUAUUAUAUGUCUAAUAUAGGAGGGUUUAUAUCUCUAGACAACAAAACACAUUCAGUGUUCCCUAUUUAAUAUAUAUAUGUUAUGAAAUUCAAGUUUUGGUGAAAACAAAACUGACAUUUUAUAAAAGUGCUGAAAUUAGAACUUGUCUGAGCAAGGUCUAUAACAUACAGAUUUGUGCUAAAAGAUGCUUUUAACCUUCUCAAUUUACAAUGUUAUUUUACAGUUUUCAGAAGAAAUGCAGGCCUUUAAUUCAUGUAUUGAGUAUGAAACGGAGAGCGGUGUAGAGCAGGUGGUGUUGGCCAGACGAGGCAUAUGGUGUAUUAACACCUUCACCUGACCACAGCUCCUCUGAAGUGACCUUAGAGCACUGAGCAAUUACCAGACGCAGUCUUUCCCCCAUUCAACACGUCCGAUGAGCAUUGGGCUUGACCUUUGGAAAGUGUGUGGGUUUAAGAAAAUCUGGACGCUGUGAGGUUUAGGCUGAUUGUGUGCAUUCAUACUCAGUUUUGAGCGUUGUGCCACAGCAGGUUUAGAGAGAUUGAUGCCUUCUGCGGUUUGUUGCACAAAGGAAAAUCACACAAGGUUCCUCUCUGGACGAGACAGUGGUACAGCAGGACUGCGAGAGUAAUCAGUUGUCCAUAGUGUUGAUGACACUAUAUUAGAAGGCUUCACCUUCAUCCUGCCCACUGCCCACAGUGUGAAGAUAUUUCACUACGACUUCCCUCCUUGUUAAAUGAAGUGUUAUGGUUGGCUCUGAUCAGUGGUGGAGCAGCUGUCACUGACUGAUUUGAACUUGCAACCUUUGCCACUAAAUGUAAGAAAUAUUUCAUCUCAUGUCAAGAGGCUAUCAGUGCUAUCAGAAGCCCGGAGCUUUAGAGCAUCGGGACCAGACUGGAGCGAGUGAGGGAUUCCCUGUCCUCUCGUUCUCUUUCCUCACCCGAUGGCAGACUGUCAGCUGAUCCGUGAUCCCUGGGCAGAGUCGGACUGCUCGUGUUUCAGUCCUCUCUCCCCUCAGACGCACUGCGGCAGCCACACACACACACACACUCGCUUCUGUUUUUAGGAGGGAGGGAGUGGGACGGCUCUCUUGUCUUGUCUCUCCCAAACUAUUCCUUCUUCAAGUCUCUCCUCACUUGGAAGGCUUUCUUCGGAGAAUGCAAACAUGCCUGGGAAGUUUGGAGGUGGAUUUCUGAAAAAGCUUGGAUCUAUACACUCGCUUUCCUUGAGGAAUACAGCAAUUCCCCAUAGAGUUUGUGCUCUUGCAGGAGAUCCCAGAGGAGCGAGUGUUCUUGAAGGAGGGAAAGCAUUGUCUUUCGUCUGCGUGGCACCGGAUCGUCGUGAUGGACUCGGAUAGCGCUUCUGCUUCACAUAUAAGGCUUUGACCACAGGCCUCUCCCUAUCUGGUUCUCAGACACCUGCGAUGAUCCUGUAACUGGAUAAUAGAUUCCCGGUGUCCUGCUUUCAGCGGUGAAUCGUGGAGAGAGCUGCCCCAGACGAGCUGACCUAAAUCGAUCCCAAGCGGUAUCUGGAAGCGGCGAGUGAAGCACAGCUGCGCAGCUCCUCAGCAGCGAGUGUGUGUGUGUGUGUGUGUGUGUGUGGAGAAGCAGAGGGACUGCAGACUCUCUCUCUCUCUCUCUGAACGGCUGGAGGGAAACCGGCACGCCUUGCCACAUCUCUUGGGCACCAGCUCCUUUCCAACAGCUUCUUCCUCGUCUCCUCCAGCAGUGAUCAAUCAGUCAGGCAUUGAUGGAGAAUUAGUCGCUGCUCUGAGCCGCUCUUAUCAGCCGGUGCUGGGGAGCACAUCUAGCGUCUGCGGAGCUGAGAGCGAGGGACGGUCUGGGCACCACAGCGCUCCGAAUGAAUCCUUCGGCUCUCUUCCUCUCCGCCUCCUGUUUUUACUCUAGAGGAACCUGAAGAUCAUUUGCUUUGAAUUGCAUGUUAAGUGCCAUCUCUCUAAGAUCUACUGCUCUGGAUUUCAGGUGAAGGAGCUGGUCCUUUUCCUCUGUCUCAGACCCGAGCGGAUCUUCUGCAGGCCUGCUGAGAAUUGGAUUGCAUCCCUCAAGUUGCUGACUUUUAAUUGGACGGCCGCUUUUUGUUCAGAUAUUAGCAGGAGUCGUGUGGCUCUCUGACGACCUCGUGACUUCUCAAGGUCCAUUGCGGAAGUCGAGCAGAGCUGGAGGAAGUGAGAAAAGAAACACCCUGCGAUCCGUCUUUCAAUGUCUUGCGCUUCACUCCGAUCCUCAGCCGCUCUUCUCAUUAAACUCCCACUGAGUCCAUAAAAGAGCCUCACCGUAGUUAAAAAUAAUGGCUUUUGCUCCUUCUCACCUGGCAGUGAUUAAUUUUUCCUUAUAAAUAGCUUUUCAUUAUGAAGUGAAUCCAAGGAAAUGUGAGGACACGUUCAAGCUUCAUUCGGUGCAGCUCGAGCUGGAGGCCGUGGAGAAGCA
Molecule: long non-coding RNA, 2675 nt
Organism: Cyprinus carpio (common carp)
Lineage: Eukaryota; Metazoa; Chordata; Actinopteri; Cypriniformes; Cyprinidae
Exons: 5
Source: RefSeq, a predicted model, not a curated record